RNAcentral lists this ribosomal RNA (1426 nucleotides) under Pediococcus acidilactici. Its description in RNAcentral is "bacterial SSU rRNA". It matches the Rfam family "Bacterial small subunit ribosomal RNA", at positions 64 to 1442 of the family's 1533-position model. Lineage: Bacteria; Bacillati; Bacillota; Bacilli; Lactobacillales; Lactobacillaceae. The record is from RNAcentral.
CAACGAACUUCCGUGUGAAUUCGCAUUAUGAGGUGCUUGCACUGAAUGAGAUUUUAACACGAAGUGAGUGGCGGACGGGUGAGUAACACGUGGGUAACCUGCCCAGAAGCAGGGGAUAACACCUGGAAACAGAUGCUAAUACCGUAUAACAGAGAAAACCGCCUGGUUUUCUUUUAAAAGAUGGCUCUGCUAUCACUUCUGGAUGGACCCGCGGCGCAUUAGCUAGUUGGUGAGGUAACGGCUCACCAAGGCGAUGAUGCGUAGCCGACCUGAGAGGGUAAUCGGCCACAUUGGGACUGAGACACGGCCCAGACUCCUACGGGAGGCAGCAGUAGGGAAUCUUCCACAAUGGACGCAAGUCUGAUGGAGCAACGCCGCGUGAGUGAAGAAGGGUUUCGGCUCGUAAAGCUCUGUUGUUAAAGAAGAACGUGGGUGAGAGUAACUGUUCACCCAGUGACGGUAUUUAACCAGAAAGCCACGGCUAACUACGUGCCAGCAGCCGCGGUAAUACGUAGGUGGCAAGCGUUAUCCGGAUUUAUUGGGCGUAAAGCGAGCGCAGGCGGUCUUUUAAGUCUAAUGUGAAAGCCUUCGGCUCAACCGAAGAAGUGCAUUGGAAACUGGGAGACUUGAGUGCAGAAGAGGACAGUGGAACUCCAUGUGUAGCGGUGAAAUGCGUAGAUAUAUGGAAGAACACCAGUGGCGAAGGCGGCUGUCUGGUCUGUAACUGACGCUGAGGCUCGAAAGCAUGGGUAGCGAACAGGAUUAGAUACCCUGGUAGUCCAUGCCGUAAACGAUGAUUACUAAGUGUUGGAGGGUUUCCGCCCUUCAGUGCUGCAGCUAACGCAUUAAGUAAUCCGCCUGGGGAGUACGACCGCAAGGUUGAAACUCAAAAGAAUUGACGGGGGCCCGCACAAGCGGUGGAGCAUGUGGUUUAAUUCGAAGCUACGCGAAGAACCUUACCAGGUCUUGACAUCUUCUGCCAACCUAAGAGAUUAGGCGUUCCCUUCGGGGACAGAAUGACAGGUGGUGCAUGGUUGUCGUCAGCUCGUGUCGUGAGAUGUUGGGUUAAGUCCCGCAACGAGCGCAACCCUUAUUACUAGUUGCCAGCAUUCAGUUGGGCACUCUAGUGAGACUGCCGGUGACAAACCGGAGGAAGGUGGGGACGACGUCAAAUCAUCAUGCCCCUUAUGACCUGGGCUACACACGUGCUACAAUGGAUGGUACAACGAGUCGCGAAACCGCGAGGUUUAGCUAAUCUCUUAAAACCAUUCUCAGUUCGGACUGUAGGCUGCAACUCGCCUACACGAAGUCGGAAUCGCUAGUAAUCGCGGAUCAGCAUGCCGCGGUGAAUACGUUCCCGGGCCUUGUACACACCGCCCGUCACACCAUGAGAGUUUGUAACACCCAAAGCCGGUGGGGUAACCUU